This 216-nucleotide non-coding RNA is filed under the name Afipia sp. Lineage: Bacteria; Pseudomonadati; Pseudomonadota; Alphaproteobacteria; Hyphomicrobiales; Nitrobacteraceae. The record is from RNAcentral.
ACCAAAUGCAGGGGUCGUGGUUCUAUCGAGUCGCAAGACUUGGUAGCUAAGAUGGGAAGCCGGUGAAGCCGCGGAAGCGGCAAGUCCGGCGCUGCCCCCGCAACUGUAAGCAGCGAGCUGAUUCCAACUUUGGUCACUGGCGCGUGCGCGCGCCGGGAAGGCCGGAAUCCGCCUCGACCUGCGAGCCAGGAGACCUGCCGCGACACCAGAACGUCC